Molecule: ribosomal RNA, 468 nt
Filed under: uncultured bacterium
Lineage: Bacteria
Description: partial 16S ribosomal RNA
Rfam family: Bacterial small subunit ribosomal RNA
Source: RNAcentral
GACGAACGCUGGCGGCGUGCUUAACACAUGCAAGUCGAACGGAACGGCCCUGCUUUUGUGGGGUGCUCGAGUGGCGAACGGGUGAGUAACACGCGAGUAACCUGCCCUCGACUUUGGGAUAACUUCAGGAAACUGGGGUUAAUACCGGACAGGAGCUCCUGCUGCAUGGUGGGGGUUGGAAAGUUUCGGCGGUUGGGUAUGGACUCGCGGCUUGUCAGCUUGUCGGUGGGGUAGUGGCUUACCAAGGCUUUGACGGGUAGCCGGCCUGGAAGGGUGACCGGCCACAUUGGGACUGGGAUACGGCACAGACUCGUACGGGAGGCAGCGGAGGAGAAUGUGGCACAAUGGGCGGAAGCCUGAUGCAGCGACGCCGCGUGCGGGAUGACGGCCAUCUGGUUGUAAACCGCUUUCGCCUGGGAAGAGGCGUGAGUGACGGUAAUGGGUAAAGAAGCACCGGCUAACUACGUG